Molecule: ribosomal RNA, 443 nt
Filed under: uncultured bacterium
Lineage: Bacteria
Description: partial 16S ribosomal RNA
Rfam family: Bacterial small subunit ribosomal RNA
Source: RNAcentral
CCUACGGGUGGCUGCAGUGGGGAAUAUUGGGCAAUGGGCGCAAGCCUGACCCAGCAACGCCGCGUGAAGGAAGAAGGCUUUCGGGUUGUAAACUUCUUUUCUCAGGGACGAAGCAAGUGACGGUACCUGAGGAAUAAGCCACGGCUAACUACGUGCCAGCAGCCGCGGUAAUACGUAGGUGGCAAGCGUUAUCCGGAUUUACUGGGUGUAAAGGGCGUGUAGGCGGGACUGCAAGUCAGAUGUGAAAACCAUGGGCUCAACCUAUGGCCUGCAUUUGAAACUGUAGUUCUUGAGUACUGGAGAGGCAGACGGAAUUCCAUGUGUAGCGGUGAAAUGCGUAGAUAUAUGGAGGAACACCAGUGGCGAAGGCGACGAUCUGGCCUGCAACUGACGCUCAGUCCCGAAAGCGUGGGGAGCAAAUAGGAUUAGAUACCCGGGUAGUC